RNAcentral lists this ribosomal RNA (253 nucleotides) under uncultured bacterium. RNAcentral's name for it is "partial 16S ribosomal RNA". It matches the Rfam family "Bacterial small subunit ribosomal RNA", at positions 524 to 776 of the family's 1533-position model. The record is from RNAcentral.
UACGUAGGGUGCAAGCGUUGUCCGGAUUUAUUGGGUUUAAAGGGUGCGUAGGCGGUCUAUUAAGUCAGUGGUGAAAUCCAACAGCUCAACUGUUGAUGUGCCAAUGAUACUGAUGGACUUGAGUACAGACGAGGUAGGCGGAAUUGACAGUGUAGCGGUGAAAUGCAUAGAUAUUGUCAAGAACACCGAUAGCGAAGGCAGCUUGCUAGCCUGUAACUGACGCUGAGGCACGAAGGUAUGGGGAUCAAACAGG